CAAUAGCGUAUAUUAAAGUUGUUGCAGUUAAAAAGCUCGUAGUUGGAUUUCUGGUGGGAGCGAUCGGUCUGGCGCUUAGCGCGAGUACUUGCAUCGUCUCCGGCCAUCCUUGGGGAGAGUCUGUCUGGCAUUAGGUUGUCGGGCAGAGGAUCCUCAUCGUUUACUGUGAAAAAAUUAGAGUGUUCGAAGCAGGCUUAUGCCGUUGAAUAUAUUAGCAUGGAAUAAUAAGAUAGGACUUUGGUACUAUUUUGUUGGUUUGCGCACCAAAGUAAUGAUUAAUAGGGACAGUUGGGGGUAUUCGUAUUCCGUUGUCAGAGGUGAAAUUCUUGGAUUUACGGAAGACGAACUACUGCGAAAGCAUUUACCAAGGAUGUUUUCAUUAA
Molecule: ribosomal RNA, 383 nt
Filed under: uncultured eukaryote
Lineage: Eukaryota
Description: partial 18S ribosomal RNA
Rfam family: Eukaryotic small subunit ribosomal RNA
Source: RNAcentral